CCUACGGGCGGCAGCAGUGGGGGAUAUUGCACAAUGGGGGGAACCCUGAUGCAGCGACGCCGCGUGGGUGAAGAAGCGCCUCGGCGCGUAAAGCCCUGUCAGCAGGGAAGAAAAUGACGGUACCUGAAGAAGAAGCCCCGGCUAACUACGUGCCAGAAGCCGCGGUAAUACGUAGGGGGCAAGCGUUAGCCGGAUUUACUGGGUGGAAAGGGGGCGCAGACGGCGAUGCAAGCCAGGAGUGAAACCCCGGGGCCCAACCCCGGGACUGCUCUUGGAACUGCGUGGCUGGAGUGCAGGAGGGGCAGGCGGAAUUCCUGGUGUAGCGGUGAAAUGCGUAGAUAUCAGGAGGAACACCGGUGGCGAAGGCGGCCUGCUGGACUGCAACUGACGUUGAGGCCCGAAAGCGUGGGGAGCAAACAGGAUUAGAUACCCUGGUAGUC
RNAcentral lists this ribosomal RNA (440 nucleotides) under uncultured bacterium. Its description in RNAcentral is "partial 16S ribosomal RNA". It matches the Rfam family "Bacterial small subunit ribosomal RNA", at positions 338 to 795 of the family's 1533-position model. The record is from RNAcentral.